RNAcentral lists this ribosomal RNA (450 nucleotides) under uncultured bacterium. RNAcentral's name for it is "partial 16S ribosomal RNA". It matches the Rfam family "Bacterial small subunit ribosomal RNA", at positions 338 to 795 of the family's 1533-position model. The record is from RNAcentral.
CCUACGGGUGGCUGCAGUGGGGAAUAUUGGACAAUGGGCGCAAGCCUGAUCCAGCAAUGCCGCGUGUGUGAAGAAGGCCUUCGGGUUGUAAAGCACUUUUAUCAGGAGCGAAAUGCCAUGGGCUAAUACCCCGUGGAGCUGACGGUACCUGAGGAAUAAGCACCGGCUAACUUCGUGCCAGCAGCCGCGGUAAUACGAAGGGUGCAAGCGUUGAUCGGAAUGACUGGGCGUAAAGGUUGCGUAGGCGGUUGAAAUCCCCGGGCUCAACCUGGGAAUGGCGGUGGAUACUGGAUAGCUAGAGUGUGUCAGAGGAUGGUGGAAUUCCCGGUGUAGCGGUGAAAUGCGUAGAGAUCGGGAGGAACAUCAGUGGCGAAGGCGGCCAUCUGGGACAACACUGACGCUGAAGCACGAAAGCGUGGGGAGCAAACAGGAUUAGAUACCCUAGUAGUC